CUGCAUGGCUGUCGUCAGCUCGUGUCGUGAGAUGUUGGUUAAGUCCCGUAACGAGCGCAACCCUUGUCCUUAGUUACCAGCACGUUAUGGUGGGCGACUCUAAGGAGACUGCCGGUGACAAACCGGAGGAAGGUGGGGGAUGACGUCAAGUCAUCAUGGCCCUUACGGCCUGGGCUACACACGUGCUACAAUGGUCGGUACAAAGGGUUGCCAAGCCGCGAGGUGGAGCUAAUCCCAUAAAGCCAAUCUCAGUUCGGAUUGUAGGCUGCAACUCGCCUACAUGAAGUCGGAAUCGCUAGUAAUCGCGGAUCAGCACGCCGCGGUGAAUACGUUCCCGGGCCUU
RNAcentral lists this ribosomal RNA (343 nucleotides) under uncultured Pseudomonas sp. RNAcentral's name for it is "bacterial SSU rRNA". It matches the Rfam family "Bacterial small subunit ribosomal RNA", at positions 1041 to 1382 of the family's 1533-position model. The record is from RNAcentral. Lineage: Bacteria; Pseudomonadati; Pseudomonadota; Gammaproteobacteria; Pseudomonadales; Pseudomonadaceae.